This 433-nucleotide ribosomal RNA is filed under the name uncultured bacterium. Its description in RNAcentral is "partial 16S ribosomal RNA". It matches the Rfam family "Bacterial small subunit ribosomal RNA", at positions 29 to 507 of the family's 1533-position model. The record is from RNAcentral.
AGCGAACGCUGGCGGCAGGCCUAACACAUGCAAGUCGAACGAACUCUUCGGAGUUAGUGGCGGACGGGUGAGUAACACGUGGGAACGUGCCUUUAGGUUCGGAAUAACUCAGGGAAACUUGUGCUAAUACCGAAUGUGCCCUUCGGGGGAAAGAUUUAUCGCCUUUAGAGCGGCCCGCGUCUGAUUAGCUAGUUGGUGAGGUAAAGGCUCAUCAAGGCGACGAUCAGUAGCUGGUCUGAGAGGAUGAUCAGCCACAUUGGGACUGAGACACGGCCCAAACUCCUACGGGAGGCAGCAGUGGGGAAUCUUGCGCAAUGGGCGAAAGCCUGACGCAGCCAUGCCGCGUGAAUGAUGAAGGUCUUAGGAUUGUAAAAUUCUUUCACCGGGGACGAUAAUGACGGUACCCGGAGAAGAAGCCCCGGCUAACUUCGUG